AAGUCUAACCUGCCCACUGAAUUUUUUAAGGCCGCGGUAUAUCUGUGCAAAGGUAGCAUAAUAAUUAGUUUUUUAAUUGAAGACUUGAAUGAACGGUUGAACAAAGAAAAAGCUGUCUUUAAUAUUUUCUUUGAAUUUUACAUUGUGAAAAGGCUUAAAUUAAUUGGGACGAUAAGACCCUAUAAAUCUUUACAUUUAUUUAAUAUUUAUUUAAGUUGUAAAUUUAUUAAUAUAUUGAAAUAUGUUAUAUUGGGGUGAAGAUAUAAUAAAAAACUGUCUAAAACAAUAAUUGAGCUUAAAAAGAUCCUUCAUAAAGAUAAGUUUAAGUUACUUGGACAGCGUAAUUUUUUUUGAGAGUUCAUAUCGAAAAAAAAGUUUGCGACCUCGAUGUUGAAUAAUUUCUUUAUGAUGCAGAAGUCAUACAUAGAAAGUCUGUUCGAC
This 441-nucleotide ribosomal RNA is filed under the name Munidopsis sp. RNAcentral describes it as "partial large subunit ribosomal RNA". The stretch from base 336 to 441 matches the Rfam family "Bacterial large subunit ribosomal RNA", at positions 2477 to 2585 of the family's 2925-position model. Lineage: Eukaryota; Metazoa; Arthropoda; Malacostraca; Decapoda; Munidopsidae. The record is from RNAcentral.